This 617-nucleotide ribosomal RNA is filed under the name Desmodesmus komarekii. RNAcentral describes it as "eukaryotic LSU rRNA". The stretch from base 179 to 332 matches the Rfam family "5.8S ribosomal RNA". The record is from RNAcentral. Lineage: Eukaryota; Viridiplantae; Chlorophyta; Chlorophyceae; Sphaeropleales; Scenedesmaceae.
GGACCUGCGGAAGGAUCAUUGAAUAUGCAAACCACAACACGCACUCUCUACUUGUGUCUGACGUUAGGUCAACAUGCGCAAGCAUGUGGCCUACUAACCUACACACCAUUGACCAACCAAUCAUCAAACCAAACUCUGAAGCUUUGGCUGCUGUUGAUCGGCAGUUUUAACAAAGAACAACUCUCAACAACGGAUAUCUUGGCUCUCGCAACGAUGAAGAACGCAGCGAAAUGCGAUACGUAGUGUGAAUUGCAGAAUUCCGUGAACCAUCGAAUCUUUGAACGCAUAUUGCGCUCGACUCCCCGGAGAAGAGCAUGUCUGCCUCAGCGUCGGUUUACACCCUCACCCCUCUUCCUUAACAGGAGGCGCCUGUCGUGCUUGCUCAAGCCGGCAGCAGGGGUGGAUCUGGCUCUCCCAAUUGGUUCACUCCGAUUGGGUUGGCUGAAGCAUAGAGGAUUAAACUGGGACCCGAUUCGGGCUCAACUGGAUAGGUAGCAACACCCUCGGGUGCCUACACGAAGUUGUGUCUGAGGACCUGGUUAGGAUCCAAGCAGGAAACAUGCCUCUGGCAUGUACUCUGUAUUCGACCUGAGCUCAGGCAAGGCUACCCGCUGAUU